Cygnus olor (mute swan) is the source of this 2579-nucleotide long non-coding RNA. RefSeq lists it as uncharacterized. NCBI's taxonomy places the organism in Eukaryota, Metazoa, Chordata, Aves, Anseriformes, Anatidae. The record is from RefSeq and is a predicted model, not a curated record. The transcript has 4 exons.
UAGAAAAGCAUGGGGAUAAAGCUGGUAAAUAUUGCAGUAGAUACUGCAGUAACAGGAGCUGCAGUGUAGAGGGGCAUCCAGUACCAUCACUGCAGAACAAGCAUAAACUGAGAAAUGGAGCUUCUGAACAGUGACCAAGACUCUGCUCAGCUACUGGGCAGCUGCAAAAAGGAAGGGUCAUACAGGAAGCAUCAUAUAUGGACUUGUGUGCAGAGUGGGGUCCCUGCUGAUUACACUGAGUAAUAAAGUGACAUGGAUUCAUACCAGGGAUGAGCUUUCUGUAAGACUGCACAGAAGAGUCUGUCCUGCAGCUUCUUCACAGAAACCAGAGGACUAUGUCCAGACCUCCAAGACCUCCAAGAAGGGAGACACCACAACCUCUCUGGGCAACUUGUGCCAGUGUUCUAUCACCUGAACAGUAUUUAUGAUGACAUCCUCCCUGAAUCUUCUCUUUGAAAAGUUCCAUCUCUCUCAGACUUUCCUAAUGGGAGAAGUGCUCCAGUUCCUUAAUCAUCUUUGUGGCCCAACAUUGGAUUCUCUCCAACAUGUCUGUGCCUCUCUUGUACUGAGGGGCCCAGAACAGGACACAGCACUCCAGGUGUGGCCUCAACAAUGCUGAGUACAGUGGAAGGAUCACCUCUCUUGACCUGUUUGCAAUACUUUGCCUAAUGCAGCCAAGAAAGGCAAAAACGAAGAACUGUAAUGCACUAGGGCUAUAAACAUGCUGGUGACUGUUACGUUAGAUACGUGGCACAGUCUGGUGUCUUAAAGAUAGAUUCCUAUCACUAAUUGUAAGGUGAGGCCAUACAAAUCCUUUAAUUAACAACAAAAUACAUGGUUUGUCGGAAUCACAGCCUGAGGUUAUGAGGAGUGUUUUCUUACAAAUGAUAUACAUUUCACCCUUUCAAGAACCACAGGUGUGUCCUAUGAAAGUGGGUACCUUAUUUUACAGGAUACCUUUGGACUAUAUUCAAUCCCAUAAUGCUAGGCUUAAGGAUUUUUUCUUUUAUUUAUUGAAAAUAUAAUAAUAUUUGAGAGUCUUGCUAAUUUUUACUUUUUAAUAAUUUUCAAGUACUUUUUUUUCAGCAUAAAUAUUCCAGAUGGUUCUAUUUCUAUUAAUUGAAAUGGAAGGUGAGAUUUGGCAAAUUAUAGCAGAUUUAAUGUUUAAAUAUUUGUUUAAAAUGUAGACUUGCUGUUUGAUUCUGUGAUGAUCUGUCUAUAUUUCCUGGGAAUGUUCCUCUCAUUGUUUCACAAUGCGAUGUGAAAAAACAUUCCUCCAUAAUUACAAAAAUGAUAUGAGAACUGCAUUCCUCUGUUGUAGUGAUAUAUCUUUUCUCCAAAAUGGCUGCCUACUCUUGUGAGAAUUUGAAAAUAUUUUGGUUCAAGGUUAUUAUUCAGUAUUUCUAGGUCAUACUUUCCUGUAAUGAAAACGGAGUGGAGGAGGCCUUGAGACUAUUUCCAGAAAAAAUUGCCUUCAAGCAACAUCUACCAAAUGUUGAGCAUUUGUUCUAUAUGUAAUUAGUAGGAGGGGGGGGGAGAAGAAAAGUGGCAUUUUUCUUUGAGUGUGGAUUAUUUACAGACAUUCUGUUUCCUAAUUCCAGGGUCCUGUGGUAGCUCUUUUUUCCCAUUACCCCACAGCUAUUCAUUAGCUGAUGUGCCAAUGUCUGUCACAAUUUAUCCUGUGGGACAAAGGCGUCUUAAUAUUUUAGCAAAAAUACAGCGAUGUAAUUAUCUGUAAUAAUUUAGUAUGUAUUUCAUCCAUGUGGAAGCUAUCCAAUCAGUCAAAGAAAAGAAAAAAAAAAACCCAAACCUAAAUAUUUCACAUCAAACUUUGAGCCUUCUGCAAUCUGCUUUUUGUCAUCUGUGGCUUCUCAGAAAUUACUCUUUAGGUAUUUUCUUCCACUAAUAUUUGGAACAUCAAAACCAUCUUAUAUUGUUGGGGAUAUGAACGAGUGACUCCUUGGAAAUUUGUGAAAUUCAUCUGUAUAGGUCCUAUAUGAAUGUUGUGGGCCUUGUUAAUAUUUUCUUCCUAUAUUCAGAAAGAACAUAUGCAACUAUUAAUUAAAAGUCUUAAAGAUAAGAUGAUUAAUUAUGCUGGUUGUAUUUUUCCUUGUCUCUGAUAAAGCAAUCAUUCAAGAAUUGAUUUUCAUGUACUUUAAUUUCUUGUUAUUUUCCACUUUUAGCACUUUACUGUGAGACUUUCUUGAAAUGGGAGUGAGGAAAAGAAUUAAAAUAUUCUUCACCACAUGGAAAGCCAAAAGUACAAUGGUUUGUUUCAGCUGAAGCUGACUUCCAUGGGUUUUGAAAGAUCUGGAUCAGGUCUGCGCUGAACAUUAGUGAUAGCUUAUUCACACAUUUAUGUCUGCCAUCUGCUUGUGGUUUACCUAGACUCUAAAACUGUUGUGGUUUAACCCAGCGGCAGCUAAACAGCACACAGCCGUUCACUUACCCUCCCCCCUCCCUCUCUGGGAUGGGAGAGAGAAAUGGGAAAGUGAAGCCUGUGAGUUGAGAUAAAGACAGUUUAUAAGACAGGAAAUAAUAAUAACAAUAAUAAUAAUAAUAAUAGUGAUAAUAGUAUU